GACGAACGCUGGCGGCGUGCUUAACACAUGCAAGUCGAACGGUAAGGCCCUUCGGGGUACACGAGUGGCGAACGGGUGAGUAACACGUGGGCGAUCUGCCCUGCACUUCGGGAUAAGCCUGGGAAACUGGGUCUAAUACCGGAUAGGACCACUGCCUGCAUGGGUGGUGGUGGAAAGCUUUUGCGGUGUGGGAUGGGCCCGCGGCCUAUCAGCUUGUUGGUGGGGUGAUGGCCUACCAAGGCGACGACGGGUAGCCGGCCUGAGAGGGUGACCGGCCACACUGGGACUGAGAUACGGCCCAGACUCCUACGGGAGGCAGCAGUGGGGAAUAUUGCACAAUGGGCGCAAGCCUGAUGCAGCGACGCCGCGUGAGGGAUGACGGCCUUCGGGUUGUAAACCUCUUUCAGCACCGACGAAGCGCAAGUGACGGUAGGUGCAGAAGAAGGACCGGCCAACUACGUGCCAGCAGCCGCCGAAC
Molecule: ribosomal RNA, 478 nt
Filed under: uncultured bacterium
Lineage: Bacteria
Description: partial 16S ribosomal RNA
Rfam family: Bacterial small subunit ribosomal RNA
Source: RNAcentral